RNAcentral lists this ribosomal RNA (497 nucleotides) under uncultured bacterium. RNAcentral's name for it is "partial 16S ribosomal RNA". It matches the Rfam family "Bacterial small subunit ribosomal RNA", at positions 28 to 507 of the family's 1533-position model. The record is from RNAcentral.
GAUGAACGCUGGCGGCGUGCCUAAUACAUGCAAGUCGAGCGAACAGAUAAGGAGCUUGCUCCUUUGAAGUUAGCGGCGGACGGGUGAGUAACACGUGGGUAACCUACCUAUAAGACUGGGAUAACUUCGGGAAACCGGAGCUAAUACCGGAUAACAUUUAGAACCGCAUGGUUCUAAAGUGAAAGAUGGUUUUGCUAUCACUUAUAGAUGGACCCGCGCCGUAUUAGCUAGUUGGUAAGGUAACGGCUUACCAAGGCGACGAUACGUGGCCGACCUGAGAGGGUGAUCGGCCACACUGGAACUGAGACACGGUCCAGACUCCUACGGGAGGCAGCAGUAGGGAAUCUUCCGCAAUGGGCGAAAGCCUGACGGAGCAACGCCGCGUGAGUGAUGAAGGGUUUCGGCUCGUAAAACUCUGUUAUUAGGGAAGAACAAAUGUGUAAGUAACUGUGCACAUCUUGACGGUACCUAAUCAGAAAGCCACGGCUAACUACGUG